ACGGCUCAGUAACACGUGGAUAACCUGCCCUUAGGUCUGGCAUAACCCCGGGAAACUGGGGAUAAUUCCGGAUAGAUUAUAGAUGCUGGAAUGCCCUGUAAUCCAAAGCUUUUGUGCCUAAGGAUGGGUCUGCGGUCUAUCAGGUUGUAGUGGGUGUGAUGUACCUACUAGCCUACGACGGAUACGGGUUGUGGGAGCAAGAGCCCGGAGAUGGAUUCUGAGACAUGAAUCCAGGCCCUACGGGGCGCAGCAGGCGCGAAAACUUUACAAUGCGGGAAACCGCGAUAAGGGGACACCGAGUGCCAGCAUCCUAUGUUGGCUGUCCAUAUGUAUAAAUCACAUGUGUUAGCAAGGGCCGGGCAAGACCGGUGCCAGCCGCCGCGGUAACACCGGCGGCCCGAGUGGUGGCCACUAUUAUUGGGUCUAAAGGGUCCGUAGCCGGUUUGGUCAGUCUUCCGGGAAAUCUGACGGCUCAACCGUUAGGCUUUCGGGGGAUACUACCAGGCUUGGGACCGGGAGAGGUAAGAGGUACUACGGGGGUAGGAGUGAAAUCUUGUAAUCCCUGUGGGACCACCAGUGGCGAAGGCGUCUUACCAGAACGGGCCCGACGGUGAGGGACGAAAGCUGGGGGCACGAACCGGAUUAGAUACCCGGGUAGUCCCAGCUGUAAACUAUGCUCGCUAGGUGUCAGGGACGGUGCGACCGUUUCUGGUGCCGCAGGGAAGCCGUGAAGCGAGCCACCUGGGAAGUACGGUCGCAAGGCUGAAACUUAAAGGAAUUGGCGGGGGAGCACUACAACGGGUGGAGCCUGCGGUUUAAUUGGACUCAACGCCGGAAAACUCACCGGGGGCGACAGCAAUAUGUAGGUCAAGCUAAAGACUUUACCAGAAUCGCUGAGAGGAGGUGCAUGGCCGUCGUCAGUUCGUACUGUGAAGCAUCCUGUUAAGUCAGGCAACGAGCGAGACCCCCGCC
This 972-nucleotide ribosomal RNA is filed under the name uncultured archaeon. RNAcentral describes it as "bacterial SSU rRNA". It matches the Rfam family "Archaeal small subunit ribosomal RNA", at positions 85 to 1058 of the family's 1478-position model. The record is from RNAcentral.